RNAcentral lists this ribosomal RNA (500 nucleotides) under uncultured bacterium. Its description in RNAcentral is "partial 16S ribosomal RNA". It matches the Rfam family "Bacterial small subunit ribosomal RNA", at positions 30 to 523 of the family's 1533-position model. The record is from RNAcentral.
AUUGAACGCUGGCGGAAUGCUUUACACAUGCAAGUCGAACGGCAGCACGGACUUCGGUCUGGUGGCGAGUGGCGAACGGGUGAGUAAUGUAUCGGAACGUGCCCAGUCGUGGGGGAUAACGUAGUGAAAAUUACGCUAAUACCGCAUACGAUCUAUGGAUGAAAGCGGGGGAUCGCAAGACCUCGCGCGAUCGGAGCGGCCGAUAUCAGAGUAGGUAGUUGGUGGGGUAAAGGCCCACCAAGCCAACGAUCUGUAGCUGGUCUGAGAGGACGACCAGCCACACUGGAACUGAGACACGGUCCAGACUCCUACGGGAGGCAGCAGUGGGGAAUUUUGGACAAUGGGCGAAAGCCUGAUCCAGCCAUUCCGCGUGCAGGAUGAAGGCCCUCGGGUUGUAAACUGCUUUUGUACAGAACGAAAAGGUUUCUACUAAUACUAGGAGCUCAUGACGGUACUGUAAGAAUAAGCACCGGCUAACUACGUGCCAGCCGCCGCAGUAA